GGCAAGUCCUUAAAGUAACCAAAAUUCGCAGGCCAGCGUUUUGGGGUGAAAUUCAUGGAGCCAAAGCGUCGCCGCAUAGAACCCUUCUUUAUCAGAUUUGCCGGUGCCACGAACACCCCUUAGAUUACAUAUGAGCUUGAGGGUGGUCAAGGGGUUUUGCUGCCAGGCAUCGUGGAGCCUCUUCCUAAGGGAAUCAGGUGGGGUAUUGGGUACGACAUGAAAGAAGAAAUCAAGGCAAGGAUUG
This 244-nucleotide unclassified non-coding RNA is filed under the name Hevea brasiliensis (rubber tree). The record is from RNAcentral. Lineage: Eukaryota; Viridiplantae; Streptophyta; Magnoliopsida; Malpighiales; Euphorbiaceae.